This 471-nucleotide ribosomal RNA is filed under the name uncultured bacterium. RNAcentral's name for it is "bacterial SSU rRNA". It matches the Rfam family "Bacterial small subunit ribosomal RNA", at positions 28 to 507 of the family's 1533-position model. The record is from RNAcentral.
GAUGAACGCUGGCGGCGUGCUUAACACAUGCAAGUCGAACGAAGAUGCCGGAGUGCUUGCACUUUGGCAGACUGAGUGGCGGACGGGUGAGUAACGCGUGGGUAACCUGCCUUAUACAGGGGGAUAACAGUUGGAAACGACUGCUAAUACCGCAUAAGCGCACGGUAUCGCAUGAUACAGUGUGAAAAACUCCGGUGGUAUAAGAUGGACCCGCGUCUGAUUAGCUUGUUGGUGAGGUAACGGCCCACCAAGGCGACGAUCAGUAGCCGGCCUGAGAGGGUGAACGGCCACAUUGGGACUGAGAUACGGCCCAGACUCCUACGGGAGGCAGCAGUGGGGAAUAUUGGGCAAUGGGCGCAAGCCUGACCCAGCAACGCCGCGUGAAGGAAGAAGGCUUUCGGGUUGUAAACUUCUUUUGUCAGGGACGAGCAGAAGACGGUACCUGACGAAUAAGCCACGGCUAACUACGUG